GAUUGAACGCUGGCGGCAGGCCUAACCCAUGCAAGUCGAACGGUAACAGGAAGAAGCUUGCUUCUUUGCUGACGAGUGGCGGACGGGUGAGUAAUGUCUGGGAAACUGCCUGAUGGAGGGGGAUAACUACUGGAAACGGUAGCUAAUACCGCAUAACGUCGCAAGACCAAAAAGGGGGACCUUCGGGCCUCUUGCCAUCGGAUGUGCCCAGAUGGGAUUAGCUAGUAGGUGGGGUAACGGCUCACCUAGGCGACGAUCCCUAGCUGGUCUGAGAGGAUGACCAGCCACACUGGAACUGAGACACGGUCCAGACUCCUACGGGAGGCAGCAGUGGGGAAUAUUGCACAAUGGGCGCAAGCCUGAUGCAGCCAUGCCGCGUGUAUGAAGAAGGCCUUCGGGUUGUAAAGUACUUUCAGCGGGGAGGAAGGGAGUAAAGUUAAUACCUUUGCUCAUUGACGUUACCCGCAGAAGAAGCACCGGCUAACUCCGUG
Molecule: ribosomal RNA, 491 nt
Filed under: uncultured bacterium
Lineage: Bacteria
Description: partial 16S ribosomal RNA
Rfam family: Bacterial small subunit ribosomal RNA
Source: RNAcentral